UUUUUAUUGAUAUCCCAUUGAGGUAUUUACUGAGGUUAAACAAGCUACUCUGAGCAUCUGUUCUUUUUCAAUAACCAGUAACAGAACAAGGUUGUGCAGGGAGAACAAUUACAAAAAAGCCAUUCCUCAAGCAGGAACGCUUCAAAUGCAGAGUCGAUAGGAGUCCCACAGAGUCAAAAGGAGGCCCCAGGAGGCCUGACAUGACCAGCAAGCUAGGUGAGAUGACAUGCCACCUGGAAUUGCAGCAUAAGGCAGACCUCCAUGGAUAAGGAAGAGGCAAUAGAGUACAAUUAGGAAAGGAGGGAUGAAGAGAGGAAGUGCCA
Molecule: long non-coding RNA, 323 nt
Organism: Podarcis raffonei (Aeolian wall lizard)
Lineage: Eukaryota; Metazoa; Chordata; Lepidosauria; Squamata; Lacertidae
Exons: 3
Source: RefSeq, a predicted model, not a curated record